GUACACUCCUGCGGGAGGCAGCAGUGGGGAAUUUUGGACAAUGGGCGAAAGCCUGAUCCAGCAAUGCCGCGUGAGUGAAGAAGGCCUUCGGGUUGUAAAGCUCUUUUGUCAGGGAAGAAACGGUGAAAGCUAAUAUCUUUUGCUAAUGACGGUACCUGAAGAAUAAGCACCGGCUAACUACGUGCCAGCAGCCGCGGUAAUACGUAGGGUGCAAGCGUUAAUCGGAAUUACUGGGCGUAAAGCGUGCGCAGGCGGUUUUGUAAGUCUGAUGUGAAAUCCCCGGGCUCAACCUGGGAAUUGCAUUGGAGACUGCAAGGCUAGAAUCUGGCAGAGGGGGGUAGAAUUCCACGUGUAGCAGUGAAAUGCGUAGAGAUGUGGAGGAACACCGAUGGCGAAGGCAGCCCCCUGGGUCAAGAUUGACGCUCAUGCACGAAAGCGUGGGGAGCAAACAGGAUUAGAUACCCGAGUAGUCCC
This 474-nucleotide ribosomal RNA is filed under the name uncultured organism. Its description in RNAcentral is "partial 16S ribosomal RNA". It matches the Rfam family "Bacterial small subunit ribosomal RNA", at positions 331 to 797 of the family's 1533-position model. The record is from RNAcentral.